GUGGUUGUUCAGGUGGCCAUUGUUCAUCUCUGCAUUCCAGAGAAUCUCAGAUGGCCACGAUGGAUUGGAGGAUAAAGUGUCCUGAAACAGGACUAUGAGGACACUACAACUAUGAGGACACUACAACUCAUCUAGAGCACCUUCUACUGACUAUCUGAUUAUCUACAAAAAAAAAAAAAACAUCCUCCAUGUCUUGCACUGAACAACAAAAGAACAAAGAGUGGAUUUCACUAAAAUCAUGCUACUAAACAGAGACUUGAUAAAGUCUGUUGAGGACAUUACAAAAUAAUACAGGAUGAUAGACGUGUCACAUAAUCAUGACUACAAGCGUACUUCCUUGACGUCAUUCACGGCAGAAAUUGUUAAGAACAGGAAAGUAGUACCAAAAAGAACCCCUUAUUAUUACAGUUUGUAUUUCAAUG
This is a long non-coding RNA of Cyprinus carpio carpio, 422 nucleotides long. The record is from Ensembl. Lineage: Eukaryota; Metazoa; Chordata; Actinopteri; Cypriniformes; Cyprinidae.